AUAGGGCUAGCCACCUGUCUAUCAUUGUUAAGUUUUGGUUCCGCCCCUUUCCCCAGGGCCAUGGGAAGAGAGGGAGCCAUUUUUAGUUCAGUCUUAUAGUGGAAAGCUAAGCUACAGGACAUGGAUUAGCUCCAUCCAUAGAAAAGCUUCAUUUCCUACAGCAUCCGGGGCAGAAAUUCCGGGGGGAAACAGUCCCAAAGCUCUGGCUGGGAGCUUACAGCCUCUCAGCUUUACAGCAUCUGAGGGAAACAGUCCUAAAGUUUCAGAAGAAAACAGUUUUACAGACCCAAAGAACUCCAGCUGGAGAAUCUACAUAGCCUUGACUGGUAGGUCUACUCGGGACCCAAGACACAGAUUGGAACCGGUAGUAGAACCCACAUCAGCAAAGCUUAGACAGUAGAUUGCCUGGGAGGGGUUAAAAAAGGGUUUUCCUUGUUAAAGAAAGAAAUAGUUCUCCAAGCAAGGUACCUGUCCAUUUUGGGGCAAGUUAAGCAUUUGUUUAAUCUGUUGAAGAUCCAAGAAGUGUUUGUUGUUUUAUUGAAGACCUAAGCAAUAAUAAAGAACUUUGUUAAACA
Molecule: non-coding RNA, 575 nt
Organism: Anolis sagrei ordinatus
Lineage: Eukaryota; Metazoa; Chordata; Lepidosauria; Squamata; Anolidae
Source: RefSeq, a predicted model, not a curated record